GCUACUAAUUUUUCGAUAAAAUUUCGCCGGAAAAAGUUUAUCCAUCAUCGGUAAACAGUCAACGUUGGUUCUCUCCGGCCAAAUUCCUCGCCGGAAACGACCCCACACCACUGGAACAGUAGAAGCAGCCGGCAAACUGCCAGCGCCGCCAACCUCCCCCUCCCUUUUCCCGGCGCCGCCUCUUCUCUUCCUUUUUUCCUUCCCACGAGCUGCUGCUCCGUUUACCGGCCAAAUUCUGGCCAAUUUCGCCGGAAAAAUCCUUUCAAAACCACCGUCGCCAGAAAACCCAUAAAAUCGGCAACCCAAC
RNAcentral lists this long non-coding RNA (307 nucleotides) under Capsicum annuum. RNAcentral's name for it is "long non-coding RNA (CANN_LNC005024)". Lineage: Eukaryota; Viridiplantae; Streptophyta; Magnoliopsida; Solanales; Solanaceae. The record is from RNAcentral.